This 522-nucleotide ribosomal RNA is filed under the name uncultured bacterium. RNAcentral's name for it is "partial 16S ribosomal RNA". It matches the Rfam family "Bacterial small subunit ribosomal RNA", at positions 355 to 895 of the family's 1533-position model. The record is from RNAcentral.
UGGGGAAUAUUGGACAAUGGGCGCAAGCCUGAUCCAGCCAUGCCGCGUGAGUGAUGAAGGCCCUAGGGUUGUAAAGCUCUUUCAGCGAGGAGGAUAAUGACGUUACUCGCAGAGGAAGCCCCGGCUAACUUCGUGCCAGCAGCCGCGGUAAUACGAAGGGGGCUAGCGUUGUUCGGAAUCACUGGGCGUAAAGCGCACGUAGGCGGACUUUUAAGUCAGGGGUGAAAUCCCGGGGCUCAACCUCGGAACUGCCUUUGAUACUGGAAGUCUGGAGUCCGAGAGAGGUGAGUGGAACUCCGAGUGUAGAGGUGAAAUUCGUAGAUAUUCGGAAGAACACCAGUGGCGAAGGCGGCUCACUGGCUCGGUACUGACGCUGAGGUGCGAAAGCGUGGGGAGCAAAACAGGAUUAGAUACCCUGGUAGUCCACGCCGUAAACGAUGGAAGCUAGCCGUCAGGGUGCAUGCAUCUUGGUGGCGCAGUUAACGCAUUAAGCUUCCGCCUGGGGAGUACGGUCGCAAGAUU